AAUCAACGCUGGCGGCGUGCCUCAGACAUGCAAGUCGAACGCGAAAUCUCCCUUCGGGGAGAAAGUAGAGUGGCGCACGGGUGAGUAACACGUGGGUAAUCUACCUCUGGGUGGGGAAUAACAGUCGGAAACGGCUGCUAAUACCGCAUAAUGCAGCGGCACCACAUGGUGACAGUUGUUAAAGCGGGGACGGGAGCAAUCCCACCUCGCGCCUAGAUGAGGAGCCCGCGGCGGAUUAGCUAGUUGGUAGGGUAACGGCCUACCAAGGCUACGAUCCGUAGCCGGCCUGAGAGGGCGGACGGCCACACUGGCACUGACAUACGGGCCAGACUCCUACGGGAGGCAGCAGUGGGGAAGUCUUGCGCAAUGGGCGAAAGCCUGACGCAGCAACGCCGCGUGAGUGAUGAAGGCCUUCGGUCGU
Molecule: ribosomal RNA, 421 nt
Filed under: uncultured bacterium
Lineage: Bacteria
Description: bacterial SSU rRNA
Rfam family: Bacterial small subunit ribosomal RNA
Source: RNAcentral